GGCGACGUAGCCCGCCUUGGUCAGCGCGCUGGCGACGCGCUCGGCCGCCGCUUCGACCGCGGCGUCGUCU
Molecule: transfer RNA, 70 nt
Filed under: Mycobacterium marinum
Lineage: Bacteria; Bacillati; Actinomycetota; Actinomycetes; Mycobacteriales; Mycobacteriaceae
Description: tRNA-Ala
Source: RNAcentral